GCACCAGUGGUGUAGUGGUAUCAUGCAAGAUUCCCAUUCUUGCGACCCGGGUUCAAUUCCCGGCUGGUGCA
This 71-nucleotide transfer RNA is filed under the name Colius striatus (speckled mousebird). It matches the Rfam family "tRNA". From Rfam's summary of the family: Transfer RNA (tRNA) molecules are approximately 80 nucleotides in length. Their secondary structure includes four short double-helical elements and three loops (D, anti-codon, and T loops). Lineage: Eukaryota; Metazoa; Chordata; Aves; Coliiformes; Coliidae. The record is from Rfam by way of RNAcentral. RNAcentral also lists the same sequence under 1 other name.